UACAGAGGUGGCAAGCGUUGUUCGGAAUUACUGGGCGUAAAGGGCGCGUAGGCGGCCUUCUAAGUCAGACGUGAAAUCCCCCGGCUUAACCUGGGAACUGCGUCUGAUACUGGGAGGCUUGAGUAUGGGAGAGGGAUGUAGAAUUCCAGGUGUAGCGGUGAAAUGCGUAGAUAUCUGGAGGAAUACCGGUGGCGAAGGCGGCAUCCUGGACCGGCAUUGACGCUGAGGAGCGAAAGCUAGGGGAGCAAACGGG
Molecule: ribosomal RNA, 253 nt
Filed under: uncultured bacterium
Lineage: Bacteria
Description: partial 16S ribosomal RNA
Rfam family: Bacterial small subunit ribosomal RNA
Source: RNAcentral